This 568-nucleotide ribosomal RNA is filed under the name Macrochaete psychrophila CCALA 32. RNAcentral's name for it is "bacterial LSU rRNA". It matches the Rfam family "Bacterial large subunit ribosomal RNA", at positions 1 to 589 of the family's 2925-position model. The record is from RNAcentral. Lineage: Bacteria; Bacillati; Cyanobacteriota; Cyanophyceae; Nostocales; Calotrichaceae.
GGUCAAGCGAAUAAGGGCUGAUGGUGGAUACCUAGCUACGCAGCGGCGAUGAAGGACGUGGUUACCGACGAUAAGCUCCGGGGAGUUGGAAGCAAGCAUUGAGCCGGAGAUUUCCGAAUGGGGCAACCCUAUAUACUAGCUGUUGAAUAUAUAGACAGCAAAGAGCCAACCCAGCGAAUUGAAACAUCUUAGUAGCUGGAGGAAGAGAAAUCAAAUAGAGAUUCCCAAAGUAGUGGUGAGCGAAAUGGGAAAAGCCUAAACCUAAGUACUUGUACUUGGGGGUCGUGGGACAGCAAUAUCGAAUCCGUAUAUUAGACGAAGUAGCUAAAUACUACACCAGAGAAAGUGAAAGUCUUGUAGUCGAAAAUAGAAGGAUAGUAGCUGAAUCCCGAGUAGCAUGGAGCACGUGAAAUUCCAUGUGAAUCAGCGAGGACCACCUCGUAAGGCUAAAUACGACUGCGUGAGCGAUAGUGAACAAGUACCGCGAGGGAAAGGUGAAAAGAACCCCGGAAGGGGAGUGAAAUAGAACAUGAAACCAUCAGCUACAAGCAGUGGAGUCCGAUUAAAC